RNAcentral lists this long non-coding RNA (709 nucleotides) under Homo sapiens (human). Its description in RNAcentral is "HSALNT0370757". The record is from RNAcentral. Lineage: Eukaryota; Metazoa; Chordata; Mammalia; Primates; Hominidae.
GAGCUUGCAGAGCUUGGCGUUGGCUUGGUUUGAUUUAUUUUGAUUUUCCCUAUUGAUGGCAAAGGAAAAAAAAAAAAAAAAGAAUGUAGGGGAGGUGGCACAGGGAAAUAAAGUGGGACAGAAGAGGAGAAAGAGUAUUGGCAAAAGGAAAAGGAACCGAACACCCAGUGCGUAAUAAUGAGAGCGAUAACAGCAAUGUUGGGUGCCGACCCUGGGCCAGGUCCUGAGCUGGCAGGUUGCAGGGAUUUACAGCAUGACUCCUGUGAGGUUUGAUACUCCUCUUUUCAUCUCACACGUGACGAACUGGAAGCACAGACGUUUAGUUGUUUCCUGAGGGUCACUCAGCAAGCAAACUGUGGUGCUCACGUUGCAACCCAAGGCUGGGGACUCCAAGGGUAAUACGUGUAUCUGUUUCUGCCACAAGCAGUGUCCUUGGAAGUCUUACAACUCCACAGACCACGUACUUCCUGGGCCAAAGAGCACUCCUAGUCUUUGGGGGGAUAGAAACUGAGAGAAGCAAAGAGAGACCUCCACCAUUCCAAGGUGGGACAUGUUAAAGUCCUGUUCGUGGAGAAAAGCUUUCGUGGUUGAAUGAGAGAGUUGCAAUUGUAUCUAUUUCUCUAGAGCAUUGCCAGUUGCACUUUUCAAUAAAAAAUCUUCACAUUUAUGUCCUUAUGGCUGUCCAGAGCAUCAUAGGGUAUCUGAAGAC